AUUGAACGCUGGCGGCAGGCCUAACACAUGCAAGUCGAGCGGAUGAAGUGAGCUUGCUCCUGGAUUCAGCGGCGGACGGGUGAGUAAUGCCUAGGAAUCUGCCUGGUAGUGGGGGAUAACGUCCGGAAACGGGCGCUAAUACCGCAUACGUCCUGAGGGAGAAAGUGGGUGAUCUUCGGACCUCACGCUAUCAGAUGAGCCUAGGUCGGAUUAGCUAGUUGGUGGGGUAAAGGCCUACCAAGGCGACGAUCCGUAACUGGUCUGAGAGGAUGAUCAGUCACACUGGAACUGAGACACGGUCCAGACUCCUACGGGAGGCAGCAGUGGGGAAUAUUGGACAAUGGGCGAAAGCCUGAUCCAGCCAUGCCGCGUGUGUGAAGAAGGUCUUCGGAUUGUAAAGCACGUUAAGUUGGGAGGAAGGGCAGUAAGUUAAUACCUUGCUGUUUUGACGUUACCAACAGAAUAAGCACCGGCUAACUUCGUG
Molecule: ribosomal RNA, 484 nt
Filed under: uncultured bacterium
Lineage: Bacteria
Description: partial 16S ribosomal RNA
Rfam family: Bacterial small subunit ribosomal RNA
Source: RNAcentral